CCGCGACCCCAGGUCAGGCGGGGUUACCCGCUGAGUUUAAACUUUUAU
This 48-nucleotide ribosomal RNA is filed under the name Echidnopsis repens. RNAcentral's name for it is "partial 26S ribosomal RNA". The record is from RNAcentral. Lineage: Eukaryota; Viridiplantae; Streptophyta; Magnoliopsida; Gentianales; Apocynaceae.